RNAcentral lists this ribosomal RNA (301 nucleotides) under uncultured bacterium. Its description in RNAcentral is "partial 16S ribosomal RNA". It matches the Rfam family "Bacterial small subunit ribosomal RNA", at positions 509 to 807 of the family's 1533-position model. The record is from RNAcentral.
CAGCAGCCGCGGUAAUACGUAGGGACCAAGCGUUGUUCGGAUUUACUGGGCGUAAAGGGCGCGUAGGCGGCAAUUCAAGUCAUCUGUGAAAUCUCCGGGCUUAACUCGGAACGGUCAGAUGAUACUGCUUUGCUAGAGUAUAGAAGGGGCAAUCGGAAUUCUUGGUGUAGCGGUGAAAUGCGUAGAUAUCAAGAGGAACACCUGAGGUGAAGACGGGUUGCUGGGCUGAUACUGACGCUGAGGCGCGAAAGCUAGGGUAGCAAACGGGAUUAGAUACCCCAGUAGUCCCUGUCUCUUAUAC